GACGAACGCUGGCGGCGUGCUUAACACAUGCAAGUCGAACGGUAAGGCUCCAGCUUGCUGGGGUACACGAGUGGCGAACGGGUGAGUAACACGUGGGUGACCUGCCCUGCACUUCGGGAUAAGCCUGGGAAACUGGGUCUAAUACCGGAUAGGACCGCACCGUGAGGGUGUGGUGGAAAGUUUUUUCGGUGUGGGAUGGGCCCGCGGCCUAUCAGCUUGUUGGCGGGGUAAUGGCCUACCAAGGCGGCGACGGGUAGCCGGCCUGAGAGGGUGGACGGCCACAUUGGGACUGAGACACGGCCCAGACUCCUACGGGAGGCAGCAGUGGGGAAUAUUGCACAAUGGGCGGAAGCCUGAUGCAGCGACGCCGCGUGGGGGAUGACGGCCUUCGGGUUGUAAACUCCUUUCACCAUCGACGAAGGGUUUCUGACGGUAGAUGGAGAAGAAGCACCGGCUAACUACGUG
This 465-nucleotide ribosomal RNA is filed under the name uncultured bacterium. Its description in RNAcentral is "partial 16S ribosomal RNA". It matches the Rfam family "Bacterial small subunit ribosomal RNA", at positions 28 to 507 of the family's 1533-position model. The record is from RNAcentral.